UCCUGCCAGACCGGAGGGGCUGGGGGGGUUCCAGCAGGGGGAGGGUUUUCCCUUCACCCCAGUUGCCAAACAUCCCUCCCACCCCCUGGACCGUCCUUUUCCCUCCAUCCCUGACGGUUCUGGCCUUCCCAAACUGCUUUUGAUCUUCUGAUUCCUCUUGGGUUGAAGCAGACCAAGUCCCGUCCUAGGCACCCAGUUUGGGGGGAGCCUGUAUUUUUUUUUUUAACGACACCCCUACUCCGUAUCCCUCCCCAUCCCAUGCUGCCAACUUCUAACCACAAUAGUGACUCUGUGCUUGUCUGUUUAGUUCUGUGUGUAAAUGAAAUGUGGAAAUGACCCUCCCUGCCCCAGCUGGCUGCCCUCCCCUUUCCUUUGAUCUUGACCACUCAUGGAAGCAGGACCAGUAAGGGACCUUCAAUUUAAAACAAAACAAAACAAAAAAACAAUAAAAAGGC
This 455-nucleotide long non-coding RNA is filed under the name Androctonus crassicauda. The record is from RNAcentral. Lineage: Eukaryota; Metazoa; Arthropoda; Arachnida; Scorpiones; Buthidae.